GAUGAACGCUGGCGGCGUGCUUAACACAUGCAAGUCGAACGGAAAGGCUCCUGCUUGCAGGGGUACUCGAGCGGCGAACGGGUGAGUAACACGUGGGUGAUCUGCCCUGCACUUCGGGAUAAGCCUGGGAAACUGGGUCUAAUACCGGAUAGGACCACAUUUUGGAUGGUGUGGUGGAAAGUUUUUCGGUGUGGGAUGAGCUCGCGGCCUAUCAGCUUGUUGGUGGGGUAAUGGCCUACCAAGGCGUCGACGGGUAGCCGGCCUGAGAGGGUGUACGGCCACAUUGGGACUGAGAUACGGCCCAGACUCCUACGGGAGGCAGCAGUGGGGAAUAUUGCACAAUGGGCGCAAGCCUGAUGCAGCGACGCCGCGUGGGGGAUGACGGCCUUCGGGUUGUAAACUCCUUUCGCUAGGGACGAAGCGCAAGUGACGGUACCUGGAGAAGAAGCGCCGGCUAACUACGUG
This 465-nucleotide ribosomal RNA is filed under the name uncultured bacterium. Its description in RNAcentral is "partial 16S ribosomal RNA". It matches the Rfam family "Bacterial small subunit ribosomal RNA", at positions 28 to 507 of the family's 1533-position model. The record is from RNAcentral.